This 253-nucleotide ribosomal RNA is filed under the name uncultured bacterium. RNAcentral's name for it is "partial 16S ribosomal RNA". It matches the Rfam family "Bacterial small subunit ribosomal RNA", at positions 524 to 776 of the family's 1533-position model. The record is from RNAcentral.
UACGGAGGAUGCAAGCGUUAUCCGGAAUGAUUGGGCGUAAAGCGUCUGCAGGUGGCAGUUCAAGUCUGCUGUCAAAGACCGGGGCUUAACUUCGGAAAGGCAGUGGAAACUGAACAGCUAGAGUAUGGUAGGGGCAGAGGGAAUUCCUGGUGUAGCGGUGAAAUGCGUAGAGAUCAGGAAGAACAUCGGUGGCGAAGGCGCUCUGCUGGACCAUAACUGACACUCAGGGACGAAAGCGAGGGGAGCGAAUGGG